GACGUAGGGGGCGAGCGUUGUCCGGAGUUACUGGGCGUAAAGGGCACGCAGGCGGUCUGCCACGUUUGCCAUGACAGGGUCGGGCUUCACCCGAUCAGGGGGGCAAAAACGAGCGGACUUGAGACUCAGAGAGGGACCUGGAAUUCCGGGUGGAGUGGUGAAAUGCGUAGAUAUCCGGAGGAAGACCGAAGGCGAAGGCAGGGUCCUGGCUGAGGGCUGACGCUGAGGUGCGAAAGCCAGGGGAG
Molecule: ribosomal RNA, 245 nt
Filed under: uncultured bacterium
Lineage: Bacteria
Description: partial 16S ribosomal RNA
Rfam family: Bacterial small subunit ribosomal RNA
Source: RNAcentral